CCCACGGGGUGCUGCAGUGGGGAAUAUUGGACAAUGGGGGGAACCCUGAUCCAGCCAUGCCGCGUGUGUGAAGAAGGCCCUCGGGUUGUAAAGCACUUUCAGUGAGGAAGAACGCCUGGUGGUUAAUACCCAUCAGGAAAGACAUCACUCACAGAAGAAGCACCGGCUAACUCCGUGCCAGCAGCCGCGGUAAUACGGAGGGUGCGAGCGUUAAUCGGAAUUACUGGGCGUAAAGCGCGCGUAGGUGGCUUGAUAAGCCGGUUGUGAAAGCCCCGGGCUCAACCUGGGAACGGCAUCCGGAACUGUCAAGCUAGAGUGCAGGAGAGGAAGGUAGAAUUCCCGGUUUAGCGGUGAAAUGCGUAGAGAUCGGGAGGAAUACCAGUGGCGAAGGCGGCCUUCUGGACUGACACUGACACUGAGGUGCGAAAGCGUGGGUAGCAAACAGGAUUAGAUACCCCAGUAGUC
RNAcentral lists this ribosomal RNA (465 nucleotides) under Vreelandella stevensii. Its description in RNAcentral is "partial 16S ribosomal RNA". It matches the Rfam family "Bacterial small subunit ribosomal RNA", at positions 338 to 795 of the family's 1533-position model. The record is from RNAcentral. Lineage: Bacteria; Pseudomonadati; Pseudomonadota; Gammaproteobacteria; Oceanospirillales; Halomonadaceae.